GAUUAACGCCGGCGGCGUGCAUAACACAUGCAAGUCGAACGAUGAAACUUAAAUGAUUUCUUCGGAAUGAACUUAAGUGGAUUAGUGGCGGACGGGUGAGUAACGCGUGAGUAACCUGCCUUACACAAGGGGAUAGCCGUUGGAAACGACGAAUAAUACCCUAUGAAACUAUCACUUCGCAUGAAGCGAUAGUCAAAGUGUUAGCGGUGUAAGAUGGACUUGCGUCUGAUUAGCUAGUUGGUGAGAAAAAAGCCCACCAAGGCAACGAUCAGUAGCCGGCUUGAGAGAGUGUACGGCCACAUUGGGACUGAGACACGGCCCAGACUCCUACGGGAGGCAGCAGUGGGGAAUUUUGCACAAUGGGGGAAACCCUGAUGCAGCGACGCCGCGUGAUUUAGAAGGCCUUCGGGUUGUAAAAAUCUUUUGUAUAGGAAGAAAAUGACAGUACUAUACGAAUAAGGUCCGGCUAAUUACGUG
RNAcentral lists this ribosomal RNA (477 nucleotides) under uncultured bacterium. Its description in RNAcentral is "partial 16S ribosomal RNA". It matches the Rfam family "Bacterial small subunit ribosomal RNA", at positions 28 to 507 of the family's 1533-position model. The record is from RNAcentral.